RNAcentral lists this ribosomal RNA (435 nucleotides) under uncultured Lachnospiraceae bacterium. RNAcentral's name for it is "bacterial SSU rRNA". It matches the Rfam family "Bacterial small subunit ribosomal RNA", at positions 341 to 792 of the family's 1533-position model. Lineage: Bacteria; Bacillati; Bacillota; Clostridia; Lachnospirales; Lachnospiraceae. The record is from RNAcentral.
ACGGAAGGCAGCAGUGGGGAAUAUUGCACAAUGGGGGAAACCCUGAUGCAGCGACGCCGCGUGAAGGAAGAAGUAUCUCGGUAUGUAAACUUCUAUCAGCAGGGAAGAAAAUGACGGUACCUGACUAAGAAGCCCCGGCUAACUACGUGCCAGCAGCCGCGGUAAUACGUAGGGGGCAAGCGUUAUCCGGAUUUACUGGGUGUAAAGGGAGCGCAGGCGGUAACGCAAGCCAGAGGUGAAAACCCGGGGCUCAACCCCGAGGAUUGCCUUUGGAACUGUGGAACUGGAGUGCUGGAGGGGCAGGCGGAAUUCCUGGUGUAGCGGUGAAAUGCGUAGAUAUCAGGAGGAACACCGGUGGCGAAGGCGGCCUGCUGGACAGUAACUGACGCUGAGGCUCGAAAGCGUGGGGAGCAAACAGGAUUAGAUACCCUGGUA